Long non-coding RNA from Oncorhynchus tshawytscha (Chinook salmon), 2097 nucleotides. The record is from Ensembl. Lineage: Eukaryota; Metazoa; Chordata; Actinopteri; Salmoniformes; Salmonidae.
GCCAAUCCAAGCCAAGGGGAAGAAAGACAGACAGAUCUGUUGAAUACCUCUAGUGUUGUGAUGGGUCGGGUCUACUUGCCAAUCCAAGCCAAGGGGAAGAAAGACAGACAGAUCUGUUGAAUACCUCUAGUGUUGUGAUGGGUCGGGUCUGCUUGCCAAUCCAAGCCAAGGGAAAGAACCAAUCUGGAAUUAAGUGUUAUUUUCUUUCAAAUCUCUUUCUUCUUCACUUAAAGAAAGAUAAAGGUUUGGAUCUUUUGCACAACAAUGAACGCAUGUGCCCCUCCCAGCCCCCCCAGCCCCCACCACCACCGAACGACCUGUAAAAAGAGUUUCUUAUUUUACUUAGUAUUUUUCCAAUGGGAAUAAUAUUUUAAAAAAAAUAAACUAAGGUAACAUAUGUGUAGAAUAUAUUGAAUAUAAAUAUUCUCUAGAACAUGAUGAUGCCUCUAGAUCCUGUUGAUGCCAGUAUAUUGAUGUGUUUAGUGUCUCUGUGUGCACCAUCAUUAACUAGCUAGCUUCCUAGACAGAAGUUCAAACUGUCACCUUGCUGAUGACGCUACAGUACGUCCCAAAGGACACCCUAUUUCAGAUCUAGUGUGAUACUUUUGACCAAGGCCUAUAGGACCUGCGGAAGACUAGUGCGGGAGGUGUACUUGUACAUCAAGCUGCCUUAAGCUAAAGAAACAGGAGAUGGGCUCCUGCCUUAUGGGCUUUUCUGGCUCAGACAAGGCUACUUACUUAUGUAGGGUCCUGGUCCAAAGUGUUGCACUAUAUAGGGAAAGGGCCCUGGUCCAAAGUAGUGCACUAUAUAGGGAAAGGGUCCUGGUCCAAAGUAGUGUAGUGGGAAAGGGCCCUGGUCCAAAGUAGUGCACUAUAUAGGAAAGGGUCCUGGUCCAAAGUAGUGCACUAUAUAGGGAAAGGGCCCUGGUCCAAAGUAGUGCACUAUAUAGGGAAAGGGGCCCUGGUCCAAAGUAGUGCACUAUAUAGGGAAUAGGGCCCUGGUCCAAAGUAGUGCACUAUAUAGGGAAUAGGGUCCUGGUCCAAAGUAGUGCACUAUAUAGGGAAUAGGGUCCUGGUCCAAAGUAGUGCACUAUAUAGGGAAUAGGGCCCUGGUCCAAAGUAGUGCACUAUAUAGGGAAUAGGGUCCUGGUCCAAAGUAGUGCACUAUAUAGGGAAUAGGGCCCUGGUCCAAAGUAGUGCACUAUAUAGGGAAUAGGGCCCUGGUCCAAAGUAGUGCACUAUAUAGUGUGCCAUUUAGGGCAUAGUCAACUUGUUGUCCUUUAAGCAGCAAAACAGAACCAUCCUCCUAAUCAUUUUGACAUACAGAACUAUUUGACUUUUUUUUUUUUUAAAUGUAUUUUAUUUUCUGUAAUUUUUUUUCAACUGUUCAUAGUUUAAUAUAAUCCUUUUUUUCUUUCUCUCUCUGUGUGUUUUAUUUUGCUUUGUAACAGCACUAGGUCUUAAAGGUUCUGUCCCAAAUGGCACCUUAUUCCCUAUAUGUUGUACUUCUUUUGACCAGGGCCCAUAAGGCUCUGGGCCAAGAGGUAGUUCACUACGAAAGGAAAUAGGAGGCUAUUUGGGAUGUAGCCAAAUAUUAUAGUUUAUAUUGCUCAGUGAUCAGGGUUUCAGGCUGUACAGUGAUAAUAUUGAAAAGCAUUUUCUAAAUGAUUGUAAAUAGCACUAAUCUAAUGCUUAUCCCCUAUACCCCUCUUCCAAACUUCAAAUGGAAUAAAUCCAUCUGUCAACUAAAUAAAGAUUAUUGAAGUGCUGCCAUUGAUUUAUGACUUGAUCCAUCUAUUAACUAAAUAUAGAUUAUUGAAGUGCAGCCAUUGACUUAUGUGAUCAUUACUCUCAUUAAACAAUCAUUAUGUUGCGCCUUGUUACUUGUCCCUGUCUUCUUGUAGGAGCCAUUACACACACACACACACACACACACACACACACACACACACACACACACACACACACACACACACACACACACACACAGACUGCCCUUUGUCCUCUGUAGUGCCACUCGGGGGGCAAACAGACAGACAGACAAAGGCGUAAUCUCUUACAGUAACAGGACCUCCACUCAACACACCAGUGUGUUUC